RNAcentral lists this ribosomal RNA (158 nucleotides) under Panicum sumatrense. RNAcentral describes it as "5.8S ribosomal RNA". It matches the Rfam family "5.8S ribosomal RNA". From Rfam's summary of the family: 5.8S ribosomal RNA (5.8S rRNA) is a component of the large subunit of the eukaryotic ribosome. Lineage: Eukaryota; Viridiplantae; Streptophyta; Magnoliopsida; Poales; Poaceae. The record is from RNAcentral.
ACGACUCUCGGCAACGGAUAUCUCGGCUCUCGCAUCGAUGAAGAACGUAGCAAAAUGCGAUACCUGGUGUGAAUUGCAGAAUCCCGCGAACCAUCGAGUUUUUGAACGCAAGUUGCGCCCGAGGCCUUCUGGUCGAGGGCACGCCUGCCUGGGCGUCA